GACGAACGCUGGCGGCGUGCCUAAUACAUGCAAGUAGGACGCAGUUGCGAACGGGUGAGUAUCGCGCAGGUAACUACAUAUAUGAGGGGGAUCACUAUUGGAAACGAUAGCUAAUACCGCAUACUAGUUGAUGGACCUGCGGUGUAUUAGCUAGUAGGUAGGGGAAUGGCCUACCUAGGCAAAGCUACAUACCCGACCUGAGAGUGUGUGUGGCCACAAUGGGACUGAGACACGGCCCAGACCCCCACGGGAGGCAGCAGGAGGGAAUCGUCGGCAAUUGGGUGAACCCUGACCGGGCAAAGUCGCGGGAGGGAAGAAGGUUUUCGGAACGGAAAGCUCUGUUGUUAAGGAAGCGGUACUUAACCAGAAAGGGACGGCUAACUCCGUGCCAGCAGCCGCGGUAAUAC
Molecule: ribosomal RNA, 407 nt
Filed under: uncultured bacterium
Lineage: Bacteria
Description: partial 16S ribosomal RNA
Rfam family: Bacterial small subunit ribosomal RNA
Source: RNAcentral